UAGUCCACACUGUAAACGAUGGAUACUAGGUGUAGGGGGUAUCGACCCCUUCUGUGCCGUAGUUAACACAAUAAGUAUCCCACCUGGGGAGUACGACCGCAAGGUUGAAACUCAAAGGAAUUGACGGGGGCCCGCACAAGCAGUGGAGUAUGUGGUUUAAUUCGAAGCAACGCGAAGAACCUUACCAGAACUUGACAUCCCUUGCAUAGCAUAGAGAUAUGUGAAGUCCUUCGGGACAAGGUGACAGGUGGUGCAUGGUUGUCGUCAGCUCGUGUCGUGAGAUGUUGGGUUAAGUCCCGCAACGAGCGCAACCCUUGUUGUUAGUUGCCAUCAUUAAGUUGGGCACUCUAGCGAGACUGCCGGCGAAAAGUCGGAGGAAGGUGGGGACGACGUCAAAUCAUCAUGCCCCUUAUGUUCUGGGGCUACACACGUACUACAAUGGGCUACAACAGA
RNAcentral lists this ribosomal RNA (453 nucleotides) under uncultured bacterium. RNAcentral's name for it is "bacterial SSU rRNA". It matches the Rfam family "Bacterial small subunit ribosomal RNA", at positions 791 to 1243 of the family's 1533-position model. The record is from RNAcentral.